This is a non-coding RNA of Cerioporus squamosus, 80 nucleotides long. NCBI's taxonomy places the organism in Eukaryota, Fungi, Basidiomycota, Agaricomycetes, Polyporales, Polyporaceae. The record is from the annotation of a GenBank genome assembly.
UCCCGUUUAGCUCAGUUGGUAGAGCGCGUCACUAGUAUGCUGCUAUGACGAGGUCAGUCGUUCGAGUCGGCUAAUGGGAA